Molecule: ribosomal RNA, 253 nt
Filed under: uncultured bacterium
Lineage: Bacteria
Description: partial 16S ribosomal RNA
Rfam family: Bacterial small subunit ribosomal RNA
Source: RNAcentral
UACGUAGGCAGCGAGCGUUGUUCGGAGUUACUGGGCGUAAAGAGUGCGUAGGCGGUGCCCUAAGUCUGGUGUGAAAUCUCCCGGCUCAACCGGGAGGGUGCGCCGGAAACUGGGGUGCUCGAGUGUGGGAGAGGCAGGCGGAAUUCCCGGUGUAGCGGUGAAAUGCGUAGAGAUCGGGAGGAACACCAGAGGCGAAGGCGGCCACCUGGACAAGCACUGACACUCAACUGCGAAAGCGUGGGGAGCAAACAGG